AAGAGGGCCAUUUGUAUCACUGUGUGACUCCAUUCCUCAACUCCUUUCUCCAAGCCAAUAACUUUUGGCAGCUGGAUGACUCCUGACCUGAAAGCUUGUGACUUUUUCCUUGAGGCUGAGACAGAGCUGUGACUGUUGUAAAACUCCUGCCACCCACAGCUCAGCAAAAUCUCAGGCGCCAUUGUAGAGCAGCCAUUGAAUCAACACAGAGAGGCGGCAGCGUGCCUCUGACUCACCAGGAACCCAGCUCCUCACUGUUCCGCCUGCAAACAGACCUCAAAGCUCCUUGUUCCUUGCUUUGUGCUGCUGAACGCAAGUGGGACCCAGGGAAGGCCACAGAUGCUCUCUGGAAGUACAAUAGCUAUUUUCCUGGUCUGCAUCUGAGGUAGACACGGAAGGAUCAGAGGGACUCAGGGCAUUGCCCUCAGGGGAGUUCUUGGUGCUCAAUGCCUGCAUACCUCACUUAUGCCAUGAAGGUAUUCCUUAAAGGAAAUGAUAAAAAUAUCACUUUGAUGAGGAAUCGAAAAUUAACCAACUCGAUAAGUGGAAUACCCAGGAUUCCCCAAACGGACUGGCUUCAAGAAGGGUAUCCUUUUUACCACACCACACUGCCUUAUUAGACCAUUUCCAAAUUAAUUAUGGCACUUAGAGUUCAUAUUCCAUAGGAAUACAUUCAUAUAAUUGUACCUUUUCUCUUACUUCUCAGGGACUAAAAUAAAAGUAGGGUAUAAAUUGUUUUACUUUUAUACUCUACGUAUCCAGAGGUUGCAGAUGGGCAGCCCACAGGGCGCCUUGUUUUGCUUGACUAGAAUGCUGUUGAUCCACUUGGUAUUUUAAUAAAUUUUGAAUAAGUUGCCAACAUUUAAACAAUUAGAAGAUUUUUCUUGAAAUGUUUUGAUUUCCAGCUGCCUUUGACAGCAAAGAGCUGAUGUCCUCACCAGGUAGACAGCCCCUAAAUCAGAGGACUGUGCCCUCUCAGUUAAUUAAAGCCUCCACAUCUUCCUGUUGUAUUCCCAGCACUGAAAUCAAAGAGUAGUAGCUUUUUACCACCAUGUGUUUACUGAUAUUUUUCUUAGUGUAAAAAGAAGAGGAAAAUGAACUUGUG
RNAcentral lists this long non-coding RNA (1105 nucleotides) under Homo sapiens (human). Its description in RNAcentral is "HSALNT0062745". The record is from RNAcentral. Lineage: Eukaryota; Metazoa; Chordata; Mammalia; Primates; Hominidae.